This 84-nucleotide transfer RNA is filed under the name Phycisphaerae bacterium. Its description in RNAcentral is "tRNA-Leu". It matches the Rfam family "tRNA". From Rfam's summary of the family: Transfer RNA (tRNA) molecules are approximately 80 nucleotides in length. Their secondary structure includes four short double-helical elements and three loops (D, anti-codon, and T loops). Further hydrogen bonds mediate the characteristic L-shaped molecular structure. tRNAs have two regions of fundamental functional importance: the anti-codon, which is responsible for specific mRNA codon recognition, and the 3' end, to which the tRNAs corresponding amino acid is attached (by aminoacyl-tRNA synthetases). tRNAs cope with the degeneracy of the genetic code in two manners: having more than one tRNA (with a specific anti-codon) for a particular amino acid; and 'wobble' base-pairing, i.e. permitting non-standard base-pairing at the 3rd anti-codon position. Lineage: Bacteria; Pseudomonadati; Planctomycetota; Phycisphaerae. The record is from RNAcentral.
GCCCGGGUGGCGGAAUUGGCAGACGCGCUAGGUUGAGGGCCUAGUUCUCGCAAGAGAGUGCAGGUUCGAUCCCUGUCCCGGGCA